GGGUGAUGGCGUGCCUUUUGUAGAAUGAACCGGCGAGUUACGUUCCCGUGCAAGGUUAAGGUGAAGAGCUGAAGCCGCAGCGAAAGCGAGUCUGAAUAGGGCGAAUGAGUACGUGGACGUAGACCCGAAACCGGGUGAUCUACCCCUGUCCAGGGUGAAGGUGCGGUAACACGCACUGGAGGCCCGAACCCACGCAUGUUGAAAAAUGCGGGGAUGAGGUGGGGGUAGCGGAGAAAUUCCAAUCGAACCCGGAGAUAGCUGGUUCUCCCCGAAAUAGCUUUAGGGCUAGCCUCGGAAAGAAGAAUCGUGGAGGUAGAGCACUGAUUGGGUGCGGGGCCCGCAAGGGUUACCAAGCUCAGUCAAACUCCGAAUGCCAUAGAUUUAGUUCCGGGAGUCAGACAGUGAGUGCUAAGAUCCAUUGUCGAAAGGGAAACAGCCCAGACCAUCAGCUAAGGUCCCCAAGUGUGUGUUAAGUGGGAAAGGAUGUGGAGUUGCACAGACAACCAGGAUGUUGGCUUAGAAGCAGCCACCAUUGAAAGAGUGCGUAAUAGCUCACUGGUCGAGUGACUCUGCGCCGAAAAUGUAACGGGGCUAAACACACCACCGAAGCUAUGGCUUGAUGCUUGCAUCAGGGGUAGGGGAGCGUUGAAUGCGGGUUGAAGGUGUACCGGAAGGAGCGCUGGACUGCAUUCAAGUGAGAAUGCCGGUAUGAGUAACGAAAAGAUCUGUGAGAAUCAGAUCCGCCGAAAGCCUAAGGGUUCCUGAGGAAGGUUCGUCCGCUCAGGGUAAGUCGGGACCUAAGGCGAGGCCGAUAGGCGUAGUCGAAGGACAACAGGUCGAAAUUCCUGUACCACCGUAAUCCG
This 863-nucleotide ribosomal RNA is filed under the name Paenibacillus polymyxa. RNAcentral describes it as "partial 23S ribosomal RNA". It matches the Rfam family "Bacterial large subunit ribosomal RNA", at positions 591 to 1456 of the family's 2925-position model. The record is from RNAcentral. Lineage: Bacteria; Bacillati; Bacillota; Bacilli; Caryophanales; Paenibacillaceae.